UACGAAGGGGGCUAGCGUUGUUCGGAUUUACUGGGCGUAAAGCGCACGUAGGCGGAUUGUUAAGUCAGGGGUGAAAUCCUGGAGCUCAACUCCAGAACUGCCUUUGAUACUGGCAAUCUCGAGUCCGGAAGAGGUAAGUGGAACUCCUAGUGUAGAGGUGGAAUUCGUAGAUAUUAGGAAGAACACCAGUGGCGAAGGCGGCUUACUGGUCCGGAACUGACGCUGAGGUGCGAAAGCAUGGGGAGCAAACAGG
This 253-nucleotide ribosomal RNA is filed under the name uncultured bacterium. RNAcentral describes it as "partial 16S ribosomal RNA". It matches the Rfam family "Bacterial small subunit ribosomal RNA", at positions 524 to 776 of the family's 1533-position model. The record is from RNAcentral.